This 233-nucleotide unclassified non-coding RNA is filed under the name plant metagenome. RNAcentral's name for it is "partial contains small subunit ribosomal RNA, internal transcribed spacer 1, and 5.8S ribosomal RNA". The record is from RNAcentral.
UUUCCGUAGGUGAACCUGCGGAAGGAUCAUUACUGAGUGAGGGCCCUCUGGGUCCAACCUCCCGCCCGUGUUUAUUAUACCUUGUUGCUUCGGUGAGCCCGCCUCACGGCCGCCGGGGGGCAUCUGCCCCCGGGCCCGCGCCCACCGAAGACACCUAGAACUCUGUAUGAAGAUUGCAGUCUGAGCAAAAACUAAAUAAGUUAAAACUUUCAACAACGGAUCUCUUGGUUCCG